RNAcentral lists this ribosomal RNA (466 nucleotides) under uncultured bacterium. Its description in RNAcentral is "partial 16S ribosomal RNA". It matches the Rfam family "Bacterial small subunit ribosomal RNA", at positions 28 to 523 of the family's 1533-position model. The record is from RNAcentral.
GAUGAACGCUGGCGGCGUGCCUAACACAUGCAAGUCGAGCGAACCCUUCGGGGUGAGCGGCGGACGGGUGAGUAACGCGUGGGUAACCUGCCCUAUACACACGGAUAACGUACCGAAAGGUACGCUAAUACGGGAUAAAGUUGUUGGAUGGCAUCUUCUAACAAUCAAAGCUCCGGCGGUGUAGGAUGGACCCGCGUCUGAUUAGCUAGUUGGUGAGGUAAUGGCUCACCAAGGCGACGAUCAGUAGCCGACCUGAGAGGGUGAUCGGCCACACUGGAACUGAGACACGGUCCAGACUCCUACGGGAGGCAGCAGUGGGGAAUAUUGCACAAUGGGCGAAAGCCUGAUGCAGCAACGCCGCGUGAGCGAUGAAGGUCUUCGGAUUGUAAAGCUCUUUUGCCAGGGACGAUAAUGACGGUACCUGGAGAAUAAGCCCCGGCAAACUUCGUGCCAGCAGCCGCCGUAA